Long non-coding RNA from Olea europaea var. sylvestris, 1304 nucleotides. RefSeq lists it as uncharacterized. The transcript is spliced from 6 exons. NCBI's taxonomy places the organism in Eukaryota, Viridiplantae, Streptophyta, Magnoliopsida, Lamiales, Oleaceae. The record is from RefSeq and is a predicted model, not a curated record.
GUUUAAAGCUCUUUUUUUCUCUCUCUCACACUCCACACGGAUUACUCAGCUGAGCAGAUCUUAAUUAACUCCUCUCUCUCUCUCUCCCCCUCACGGAGGAAGAAAGGCAAAAUCCGAAAUACAUACCCACGCCCACACGCUCUCGUUGUUAUUCUUUUUUGGAACGCUAUCUUGCAAAUUAUGGGAAAGUUUAGUAAGUGCAAUUUAAGUUCUUGGAAUCGCGAAUUUUCGUGUUCAUUUGCUGCCAAGCCUUUUAAUUAUGCUCACAGAAGAGGAUUUUCCUAUUUAAGCGAAUAUAAGUGGAGUGAACAUUGACUGAUGACCAAGGAGAUGAAUUUGAGGACGUGCUACAUGUGUUGACUUUAGAAAGAACCCAUAUUAAAGAAACUAUGGGUUUUUCCUUGGAUAAUACUGAUACGGCUAGAGAGCGGAUGGAGGUGGUGUUGCAGGCAAAAGAUGCACUGGAAUCGGCUUAUAGAGGAGAAGGCGCUGUCAAGUCAAUCUGGUUCUUGUUUAUUUCAAAAAAUCUCAUGAUUUUGUGGUCAACAUCUCUGAAGAAAUUCUGAAGGUUAAAAAAGAUAUUAAAAAUGAGUUUUCUGGUGUUGAUCCAAGCUGGGGUCAUGGGGAAAGCAAUUUUAUAGAAAUUGGUGGAGGCCAUUAAUUCGUCCUUUUUUCCUCGUUGCAUCCUUUGAUGAUAAAUAAUAGGCUAUGAUUUGCUUUUUAUAAGUUCCAAAUCAGGCUCAAGGUCGUUAUUCUGAAACAUAUAAUCGUAACUGGCGAAAUCGGCCUGCACAAUUUCUUGUUACUAGAGGGAGAUCCUGGGAAGCUAUUCGAGACAGAGACUUUGGUGGACGGUUUGUUUCUAGGCAACAAGAAGUAAACCAAUACAAUAGGCAAGAGCAACUAAGCUUGCAGUUUGCAAGAUCUCAAAGCCAUGGGGUAAUUAAAGAUAAUCCUUGAUACUGGUGUUUUCCUGCACUUAAUCUUUGUUUUUGAGUGCCUGUGUGAACUAAAAGCAUGUUGGACACAUGUUUAUAAUGGUUUAAAUUAUAAAUAGAUAGAAAUAAGUGGUGGAUAAAUGGAUAGUGGUUGUGUGUACCUCGAAAUAUGUGGAUAAUGAGUGCGAGGGUUUGUAAACAGUUUAUAUACAUAAGCUAAACAUAGGCUUAAGUACCUGAUUCAAAUCAACAAGCUAUCCUAUCAUUUUCUUUUGUAAAAUAUAGGGAAAAAAAGUUAGUAAAGUUCCAUGAAAUCUUGUAUAUACUAUUUGUUAUAUCAAAAGAUACUGUUUUAUUACAAUUCAA